GACGAACGCUGGCGGCGUGCCUAAUACAUGCAAGUUGAGCGCUGAAGGUUGGUACUUGUACCGACUGGAUGAGCAGCGAACGGGUGAGUAACGCGUGGGGAAUCUGCCUUUGAGCGGGGGACAACAUUUGGAAACGAAUGCAAAUACCGCAUAAAAACUUUAAACACAAGUUUUAAGUUUGAAAGAUGCAAUUGCAUCACUCAAAGAUGAUCCCGCGUUGUAUUAGCUAGUUGGUGAGGUAAAGGCUCACCAAGGCGAUGAUACAUAGCCGACCUGAGAGGGUGAUCGGCCACAUUGGGACUGAGACACGGCCCAAACUCCUACGGGAGGCAGCAGUAGGGAAUCUUCGGCAAUGGACGAAAGUCUGACCGAGCAACGCCGCGUGAGUGAAGAAGGUUUUCGGAUCGUAAAACUCUGUUGGUAGAGAAGAACGUUGGUGAGAGUGGAAAGCUCAUCAAGUGACGGUAACUACCCAGAAAGGGACGGCUAACUACGUG
This 497-nucleotide ribosomal RNA is filed under the name uncultured bacterium. Its description in RNAcentral is "partial 16S ribosomal RNA". It matches the Rfam family "Bacterial small subunit ribosomal RNA", at positions 28 to 507 of the family's 1533-position model. The record is from RNAcentral.